AUGACCUUUGCCACACUCUCCUUCAAGUACUUUUGGCCAAAGAUGUUCCUCGACGUGGCACGCUUGACCAACAAAUGCUCUACAUGCCACAAAGCUAAGUCAAAAGCACAAUCUCAUGGUUUACACAUGCCGCUUCCAAUUCCAUAUCAACCAUGGGAAGAUAUUAGUAUGGACUUAGUGCUUGGUUUGCCUAGAACUAAAAAUGGAAAGGACUUCCUAUUUGUUGUUGUGGACCGAUUCUCAAAAAUGGCACAUUUCAUCCCAUGCAAUAAGAUAAACGAUGCUUCACAUGUUGCCAAUCUCUUUUCUAGGGAAAUCUUGUGGUUGCAUGGAGUGCCAAGGAUUAUUGUGUCGGACCGCGAUGUCAAUUUCCUAAGCUACUUUUGGAAGACAAUAUGCCCCAAGCUCGGCAUCAAGUUACUAUUCUCGUCGGCCUAUCAUCCCCAAACCGAUGGCCAAAUAGAAGUCACCAGCCGGACGCUAUCUACUCUCCCACGCGUGUUGAUCGAGAAGAACAUCAAGGAGUGGGAGGAGUGCUUACCCAUCGCCGAGUACGCCUACAAUCAAGCUCGACACUCUACUACUGGCAAGUCCCUCUUUGAGGUUGUCUACGGCUUCAACCCAUUGUCCCCAUUGGGACAUUCUUCCUCUUCCACUCCAAGAACGCGCAAACGUGGAUGCUAG
Molecule: ribosomal RNA, 684 nt
Filed under: Triticum aestivum (bread wheat)
Lineage: Eukaryota; Viridiplantae; Streptophyta; Magnoliopsida; Poales; Poaceae
Description: partial small subunit ribosomal RNA
Source: RNAcentral